Molecule: ribosomal RNA, 642 nt
Filed under: uncultured bacterium
Lineage: Bacteria
Description: bacterial SSU rRNA
Rfam family: Bacterial small subunit ribosomal RNA
Source: RNAcentral
CCUGGAAACUCCAAAGGAAAUUGACGGGGGCCCGCACAACCGGUGGAGCAUGUGGUUUAAUUCGAAGCAACGCGAAGAACCUUACCAGGUCUUGACAUCCCACUGACCGGUGUAGAGAUACACUUUUCCCUUCGGGGACAGUGGUGACAGGUGGUGCAUGGUUGUCGUCAGCUCGUGUCGUGAGAUGUUGGGUUAAGUCCCGCAACGAGCGCAACCCUUGAUCUUAGUUGCCAGCAUUUAGUUGGGCACUCUAAGGUGACUGCCGGUGACAAACCGGAGGAAGGUGGGGAUGACGUCAAAUCAUCAUGCCCCUUAUGACCUGGGCUACACACGUGCUACAAUGGACGGUACAAAGGGCUGCCAACCCGCGAGGGGGAGCCAAUCCCAGAAAACCGUUCUCAGUUCGGAUUGUAGGCUGCAACUCGCCUGCAUGAAGCCGGAAUCGCUAGUAAUCGUGGAUCAGCAUGCCACGGUGAAUACGUUCCCGGGCCUUGUACACACCGCCCGUCACACCACGAGAGUUUGUAACACCCGAAGUCGGUGAGGUAACCCUUGUGGAGCCAGCCGCCGAAGGUGGGCACCGACGAUUGGGGCUGAAGUCGUAACAAGGUAGCCGUAUCGGAAGGUGCGGCUGGAUCACCU